Non-coding RNA from Plutella xylostella (diamondback moth), 2786 nucleotides. The record is from RefSeq and is a predicted model, not a curated record. NCBI's taxonomy places the organism in Eukaryota, Metazoa, Arthropoda, Insecta, Lepidoptera, Plutellidae.
AAGUGAUUAUAGGUAUUUGAUUCGUCUGUUUCAGAAUUUUAGUAAAAAUAUUAAAUUGUUACAUUAAGAUAUUAAAAUUACUUACAUGUAUUUAACGUCUAUCUUAAUAUGAUGCCAUACAGCUAUGCACGCACGCGGUGACCAUCAUUACGACUACAAAGGUUUAGUUAUUUGGAAGGACGGACGCCAAUAAGAGAUGCAUGUUUAUCUAAUGUGUAUUCCCAUUAGAAAGAAGAAAAGGUCGAAGAUAAAAUCCACAGCGAUAGCAAUCACUCGGCUCCACAUGAUCAUAUGAAUUUGCCAGCAAGCACUGCACUGAUAUCUAAAAAUUAUACUCAGCGAUUUAACAUAAAUAAUAAUCUUAUAAAAAUAAAUGCAGAAAACGACAUAAAAUUGAGAGACGAACAUUUACUGUUGUUUGAUGUGUGUUUUUGUGACCACUUGAUUUUAAAUAAAUAUUUAAUGAAAUGGCUAUUCAAAAAGGGAAAACGAAGGCUAAAGAGGCACAAUGUGCAUACAGAGAAAACAUCAAAAGUGCAAAACAAAACUUCUAGUUCAGAAUGUGAGAAAAGAAAUAUAAAUAAUCUUGUGAUCAAAGACAUAUUUGUUCGCACACAAUCUUUUAAUGAAUCUGAAAUAGAAACAUUAAGCCUAUCUACCCCGAGUAAUUUGACUGCAAGUCAGACACAUACAGAGGAAUAUGAAAAUUCAAGGAAUGUACUGAACUUAAAUUACCCGACUUUUUUGAAACUGAAACAUUCUUAUCAUGAAAAUGAUAAAUUUUAUAAACGAAGAAACAAACUUUUAAAAUAUAUUCAUGGAAGAGCUAUACAUUUCCACUCCAAUAUAAACCUAAAAUAUGCAGUUUUUAGAAUGUUACCAUUGAAAACAAAAUUGAAACAGUGUUAUGUUAAAAGUAAAAUAGAUCCCCAAGAAGUAUUAAGUAUGGAUUUGUUUCCUGUAGCAAAAAUAACAAAGGAAGAUGGUAAGACAAGUAAUGUUCAUUUACAGAAUGAAGAUAAAUUAAAAGGGAAACAAUUCUCAAGCUUACAAUCUCGUAAUGUAGCGGAUAACGAUAUUAAAGAUAAUAUCAACGCAAAACAAAAACAAUUCAAUUUAUGGAUUAAACAUAUUUCUCCAAGGAUACAGUGUAAAAUUAUUAAUUCGUCCUUGAGCUCAUUAAGUUUAGAUAAUACAACUAAGACUGUUAACAUUAAUAAUAAAUUAUGUUUCAAGAAAUGGGGAAAAUCUAUUUGCCAAAAUUUUGCGUCAUAUAAGAGAAAAGAAAAGGAUAUGAUACAUGCCCUCGUGAAGAAUAGAUCGAAACAGCAGUUCGAUCUUUCUGGCGUACAGAACUGUUUUGGUGCUAAAACUAUUAGCGGGAGUAAUACGCAAUUUGCAUCUUUUUCUGUUUACAAUGCUGAAUCAGUGUUGGGAUCUACCAAAAUUCUGCCAACCGUUCACGAAGAGUAUGAAUUUUAUGAUUCAAUGGACACAAUAACUAAUGUAAAUAUUUUAAGUAAGAGACUACCGAAAACCAACAAUAAUUUUACGAGGGUGAAAUUAAGUAAUAACAAAACAGAUGGUUUAACUCAAGUAAAACACUCACAAGCACAUAAAUACAUAUCCCUAAAAACUUUGAUUAACUUUAAACCAAACCUAUAUUUUAAUAAGAAAUCAGUUAAAAUUGGCGCUGACAAGGUGACAGAAGGAUUUCCAAUUGAUCAUAAAAAAUCUUUGGAAGAAGCCAGUAAAAACAAUGAACGAAAACAGAAGAUAAGAAAACAAUUAGUGCAAUUAAUGAACAAAGUAUUCGCCGUGCAAUUGUGUGACAUCCACGCUGAUCAAACUGAAAGCAUAAUAUCACUUCCGUUGAGGUUUAAAUAUCCUAGCGGUGACAAAAUAAAUGCCUCCACGCAGGGUGCCAGUAUUUUAUCCAAAAAUGUACGCAUUAAUUCUUAUUAUGAUCUAAUUGCUAAAUCAUCCAAUUCAUUAGUAGUAAAUGUGUUUGGACCGCCAGCUCCUCAACCUAGCGUUGCAUCAUUUAGAUCAUCUCAGUUUUGUUCGAAAAUGGAGUAUGGAUAUCUUAAUCAUUUGAUAUACCGCAUGAAAAGUAACACAAAAAGAUCUAGAAUGAGAUUAGCAGAUGAAAAGGAUAUGGAUGAAGAAACAAAUAUUUUUGACGAAGGAUUUGGUCCGAUGUUUGCAAGAGCAAACCGUAAAAAUCCUGAAUUGGAUAUGAUUAACUGGAACUAUGAAAGGAUUCUCGGUAUUGUCCCAAACAGAUAUAAAGAAAAUAAUGAAGCUGCUUUGCUUGGAAAUGUAUUUAAUACUGCCAAAGGAAAAACAUAUCAGGGACCAUAUAUCUAACAUCUGAAGCUCUCGAACUGACUUGGGGUAAAGUUCCAAAAGGCAAGGUCUGUGCAUGUCCAUACGACUACUGCAACUGUAAGGGUUAUAGACAGAAUAUGGAAAUUACACCACCAAGUAGCUACUAUGGUAAACGUGAUGUAUGCGGAGGACUGUGGAAAUGUUUAAACUUCUUUGGUUGUGCUGGAUGCGGCUUCAGACGCGACAAGUCUAACUCAACUUUUCCUCAGAAACUGAUAGAGACCGUAGAAAAAGAAAAAAAUAUAUGUAAAGAUGCCCUGCGGGAACCUGCAGAAAUCUGUCUCACAGGAUGUCAUGCAUAUUAAACAAUUGGAUUUGAGGCUUUGAGCAGAUCAACCCGAGCAAGAAAAAAAAUUAAAGAAACAGCAAAAUAAAAAUAUUUGGUGGUAAAUCUA